RNAcentral lists this ribosomal RNA (497 nucleotides) under uncultured bacterium. RNAcentral describes it as "partial 16S ribosomal RNA". It matches the Rfam family "Bacterial small subunit ribosomal RNA", at positions 28 to 507 of the family's 1533-position model. The record is from RNAcentral.
GAUGAACGCUGGCGGCGUGCCUAAUACAUGCAAGUCGAGCGAACAGACGAGGAGCUUGCUCCUCUGACGUUAGCGGCGGACGGGUGAGUCACACGUGGAUAACCUACCUAUAAGACUGGGAUAACUUCGGGAAACCGGAGCUAAUACCGGAUAAUAUAUUGAACCGCAUGGUUCAAUAGUGAAAGACGGUUUUGCUGUCACUUAUAGAUGGAUCCGCGCCGCAUUAGCUAGUUGGUAAGGUAACGGCUUACCAAGGCAACGAUGCGUAGCCGACCUGAGAGGGUGAUCCGCCACCCUGGAACUGAGACACGGUCCAGACUCCUACGGGAGGCAGCAGUAGGGAAUCUUCCGCAAUGGGCGAAAGCCUGACGGAGCAACGCCGCGGGAGUGAUGAAGGUCUUCGGAUCGUAAAACUCUGUUAUUAGGGAAGAACAAAUGUGUAAGUAACUAUGCACGUCUUGACGGUACCUAAUCAGAAAGCCACGGCUAACUACGUG